UUAAGUUAGAAAGGGCGCACGGUGAAUGCCUUGGCACUAGGAGCCGAUGAAGGACGGGACUAACACCGAUAUGCUUCGGGGAGCUGUAAGUGAGCUUUGAUCCGGAGAUUUCCGAAUGGGGAAACCCACUGUUCGUAAUGGAACAGUAUCUUUAUCUGAAUACAUAGGAUAUUGAAGGCAGACCCGGGGAACUGAAACAUCUAAGUACCCGGAGGAAGAGAAAGCAAAUGCGAUUUCCUGAGUAGCGGCGAGCGAAACGGAAUUAGCCCAAACCAAGAGGCUUGCCUCUUGGGGUUGUAGGACACUCUAUACGGAGUUACAAAGGAACGAAGUAAAUGAAGCGACCUGGAAAGGUCCGUCGAAGAAGGUAACAACCCUGUAGUUGAAACUUCGUUCCCUCUUGAGUGGAUCCUGAGUACGGCGGAACACGUGAAAUUCCGUCGGAAGCUGGGAGGACCAUCUCCCAAGGCUAAAUACUACCUAGUGACCUAUAGUGAACCAGUACCGUGAGGGAAAGGUGAAAAGCACCCCGGAAGGGGAGUGAAAGAGAUCCUGAAACCGUGUGCCUACAAGUAGUCAGAGCCCGUUAACGGGUGAUGGCGUGCCUUUUGUAGAAUGAACCGGCGAGUUACGAUCCCAUGCAAGGUUAAGCUGAUAAGGCGGAGCCGUAGCGAAAGCGAGUCUGAAUAGGGCGUUUAGUAUGUGGUUGUAGACCCGAAACCAGGUGAUCUACCCAUGUCCAGGGUGAAGUUCAGGUAACACUGAAUGGAGGCCCGAACCCACGCACGUUGAAAAGUGCGGGGAUGAGGUGUGGGUAGCGGAGAAAUUCCAAUCGAACCUGGAGAUAGCUGGUUCUCUCCGAAAUAGCUUUAGGGCUAGCCUCAUGUUGUGAGAGUCUUGGAGGUAGAGCACUGAUUGGACUAGGGGCCCCCAACGGGUUACCGAAUUCAGUCAAACUCCGAAUGCCAAAGACUUAUCCAUGGGAGUCAGACUGCGAGUGAUAAGAUCCGUAGUCAAAAGGGAAACAGCCCAGACCACCAGCUAAGGUCCCCAAGUAUACGUUAAGUGGAAAAGGAUGUGGAGUUGCUUAGACAACCAGGAUGUUGGCUUAGAAGCAGCCACCAUUUAAAGAGUGCGUAAUAGCUCACUGGUCGAGUGACUCUGCGCCGAAAAUGUACCGGGGCUAAACGUAUCACCGAAGCUGUGGAUUGACAUCUUUGAUGUCAGUGGUAGGAGAGCGUUCUAAGUGCAGCGAAGUCAGACCGUAAGGACUGGUGGAGCGCUUAGAAGUGAGAAUGCCGGUAUGAGUAGCGAAAGACAAGUGAGAAUCUUGUCCACCGAAUGCCUAAGGUUUCCUGAGGAAGGCUCGUCCGCUCAGGGUUAGUCGGGACCUAAGCCGAGGCUGAAAAGCGUAGGCGAUGGCCAACAGGUUGAUAUUCCUGUACCACCUCCCCGCCGUUUGAGUAAUGGGGGGACGCAGUAGGAUAGGGUAAGCGCGCUGCUGGAUAUGCGCGUUCAAGCAGUUAGGCUGAUGAGUAGGCAAAUCCGCUCAUCAUAAAGGCUGAGCUGUGAUGACGAGGGAAUUAUAGUACCGAAGUUCCUGAUUCCACACUGCCAAGAAAAGCCUCUAGCGAGGCGGGAGGUGCCCGUACCGCAAACCGACACAGGUAGGCGAGGAGAGAAUCCUAAGGUGAUCGAGAGAACUCUCGUUAAGGAACUCGGCAAAAUGACCCCGUAACUUCGGGAGAAGGGGUGCUCUGGUAGGGUGUAUAGCCCGAGAGAGCCGCAGUGAAUAGGCCCAGGCGACUGUUUAGCAAAAACACAGGUCUCUGCGAAGCCGCAAGGCGAAGUAUAGGGGCUGACGCCUGCCCGGUGCUGGAAGGUUAAGAGGAGGGGUUAUCCUUCGGGAGAAGCUCUGAAUCGAAGCCCCAGUAAACGGCGGCCGUAACUAUAACGGUCCUAAGGUAGCGAAAUUCCUUGUCGGGUAAGUUCCGACCCGCACGAAAGGCGUAACGAUCUGGGCACUGUCUCAACGAGAGACUCGGUGAAAUUAUAGUACCUGUGAAGAUGCAGGUUACCCGCGACAGGACGGAAAGACCCCGUGGAGCUUUACUGUAGCCUGAUAUUGAAUUUUGGUACAGCUUGUACAGGAUAGGUAGGAGCCUGAGAAGCCGGAGCGCUAGCUUCGGUGGAGGCGUCGGUGGGAUACUACCCUGGCUGUAUUGAAAUUCUAACCCGCGGCCCUGAUCGGGCCGGGAGACAGUGUCAGGUGGGCAGUUUGACUGGGGCGGUCGCCUCCUAAAAUGUAACGGAGGCGCCCAAAGGUUCCCUCAGAAUGGUUGGAAAUCAUUCGUAGAGUGUAAAGGCACAAGGGAGCUUGACUGCGAGACCUACAAGUCGAGCAGGGACGAAAGUCGGGCUUAGUGAUCCGGUGGUUCCGCAUGGAAGGGCCAUCGCUCAACGGAUAAAAGCUACCCCGGGGAUAACAGGCUUAUCUCCCCCAAGAGUCCACAUCGACGGGGAGGUUUGGCACCUCGAUGUCGGCUCAUCGCAUCCUGGGGCUGUAGUCGGUCCCAAGGGUUGGGCUGUUCGCCCAUUAAAGCGGUACGCGAGCUGGGUUCAGAACGUCGUGAGACAGUUCGGUCCCUAUCCGUCGUGGGCGUAGGAAAUUUGAGAGGAGCUGUCCUUAGUACGAGAGGACCGGGAUGGACACACCGCUGGUGUACCAGUUGUCUUGCCAAAGGCAUCGCUGGGUAGCUAUGUGUGGACGGGAUAAGUGCUGAAAGCAUCUAAGCAUGAAGCCCCCCUCAAGAUGAGAUUUCCCAUAGCGCAAGCUAGUAAGAUCCCUGAAAGAUGAUCAGGUUGAUAGGUCAGAGGUGGAAGCGUGGCGACAUGUGUAGCUGACUGAUACUAAUCGAUCGAGGACUUAACCAA
This 2934-nucleotide ribosomal RNA is filed under the name Priestia megaterium NBRC 15308 = ATCC 14581. RNAcentral's name for it is "bacterial LSU rRNA". It matches the Rfam family "Bacterial large subunit ribosomal RNA". The record is from RNAcentral. Lineage: Bacteria; Bacillati; Bacillota; Bacilli; Caryophanales; Bacillaceae.